CUUUCCCUUCGGGGACAAAGUGACAGGUGGUGCAUGGUUGUCGUCAGCUCGUGUCGUGAGAUGAUGGGUUAAGUCCCGCAACGAGCGCAACCCCUAUUAUUAGUUGCCAGCAUUCAGUUGGGCACUCUAGUGAGACUGCCGGUGAUAAACCGGAGGAAGGUGGGGAUGACGUCAAAUCAUCGUGCCCCUUAUGACCUGGGCUACACACGUGCUACAAUGGAUGGUACAACGAGUCGCAAGGUCGCGAGGCCAAGCUAAUCUCUUAAAGCCAUUCUCAGUUCGGAUUGCAGGCUGCAACUCGCCUGCAUGAAGCCGGAAUCGCUAGUAAUCGCGGAUCAGCACGCCGCGGUGAAUACGUUC
This 360-nucleotide ribosomal RNA is filed under the name uncultured Carnobacteriaceae bacterium. RNAcentral describes it as "bacterial SSU rRNA". It matches the Rfam family "Bacterial small subunit ribosomal RNA", at positions 1012 to 1373 of the family's 1533-position model. Lineage: Bacteria; Bacillati; Bacillota; Bacilli; Lactobacillales; Carnobacteriaceae. The record is from RNAcentral.